CCCUUAGAUGUUCUGGGCUGCACGCGCGCUACACUGAUGCGAUCAACAAGUUUUUCCUAUGUCGAUAGACACGGGUAAUCUUUUGAACUCGCAUCGUGAUGGGGAUAGAUUAUUGUAAUUAUUAAUCUUCAACGAGGAAUUCCUAGUAGGUGCAAAUCAUCAGUUUGCAUCGAUUACGUCCCUGCCCUUUGUACACACUGCCCGUCGCUGCUACCGAUUGGUUGAUCUGGUGAAUUAUUCGGACUGCCGGCUGAAGGGGUUUCCUCAUCUGCCAGCGGAAAGUCUUGUUAACCCUAUCAACUAGAGGAAGCAGAAGUCGUAACA
This 324-nucleotide ribosomal RNA is filed under the name uncultured eukaryote. RNAcentral describes it as "partial 18S ribosomal RNA". It matches the Rfam family "Eukaryotic small subunit ribosomal RNA", at positions 1470 to 1796 of the family's 1831-position model. The record is from RNAcentral.